This 638-nucleotide ribosomal RNA is filed under the name Staphylococcus sp. RNAcentral describes it as "bacterial SSU rRNA". It matches the Rfam family "Bacterial small subunit ribosomal RNA", at positions 230 to 859 of the family's 1533-position model. Lineage: Bacteria; Bacillati; Bacillota; Bacilli; Caryophanales; Staphylococcaceae. The record is from RNAcentral.
UCCGCGCCGUAUUAGCUAGUUGGUAAGGUAACGGCUUACCAAGGCAACGAUACGUAGCCGACCUGAGAGGGUGAUCGGCCACACUGGAACUGAGACACGGUCCAGACUCCUACGGGAGGCAGCAGUAGGGAAUCUUCCGCAAUGGGCGAAAGCCUGACGGAGCAACGCCGCGUGAGUGAUGAAGGUCUUCGGAUCGUAAAACUCUGUUAUCAGGGAAGAACAAACGUGUAAGUAACUGUGCACGUCUUGACGGUACCUGAUCAGAAAGCCACGGCUAACUACGUGCCAGCAGCCGCGGUAAUACGUAGGUGGCAAGCGUUAUCCGGAAUUAUUGGGCGUAAAGCGCGCGUAGGCGGUUUUUUAAGUCUGAUGUGAAAGCCCACGGCUCAACCGUGGAGGGUCAUUGGAAACUGGAAAACUUGAGUGCAGAAGAGGAAAGUGGAAUUCCAUGUGUAGCGGUGAAAUGCGCAGAGAUAUGGAGGAACACCAGUGGCGAAGGCGACUUUCUGGUCUGUAACUGACGCUGAUGUGCGAAAGCGUGGGGAUCAAACAGGAUUAGAUACCCUGGUAGUCCACGCCGUAAACGAUGAGUGCUAAGUGUUAGGGGGUUUCCGCCCCUUAGUGCUGCAGCUAACGCA